RNAcentral lists this ribosomal RNA (340 nucleotides) under uncultured bacterium. RNAcentral describes it as "bacterial SSU rRNA". It matches the Rfam family "Bacterial small subunit ribosomal RNA", at positions 30 to 317 of the family's 1533-position model. The record is from RNAcentral.
AUUGAACGCUGGCGGCAUGCCUUACACAUGCAAGUCGAACGUGAAAGCGGGGCAACCCGCAAGUAGAGUGGCGGACGGGUGAGUAAUACAUCGGAACGUGUCCAGUAAUGGGGGAUAACCUAGCGAAAGUUAGGCUAAUACCGCAUACGAUCUGCGGAUGAAAGCGGGGGAUGCGGCACUAAAGGCUUUUGGCGAAGGUGGCCAAAGGUGAGUCAAGAGCUUUUAGUGCNGCACCUCGCGUUAUUGGAGCGGCUGAUGUCUGAUUAGCUAGUUGGUGAGGUAAAGGCUUACCAAGGCGACGAUCAGUAGCUGGUCUGAGAGGACGGCCAGCCACACUGGG